Molecule: ribosomal RNA, 490 nt
Filed under: uncultured bacterium
Lineage: Bacteria
Description: partial 16S ribosomal RNA
Rfam family: Bacterial small subunit ribosomal RNA
Source: RNAcentral
AUUGAACGCUGGCGGCAUGCUUUACACAUGCAAGUCGGACGGCAGCACAGAGAAGCUUGCUUCUUGGGUGGCGAGUGGCGAACGGGUGAGUAAUAUAUCGGAACGUACCGAGUAAUGGGGGAUAACUAAUCGAAAGAUUAGCUAAUACCGCAUAUUCUCUGAGGAGGAAAGCAGGGGACCUUCGGGCCUUGCGUUAUUCGAGCGGCCGAUAUCUGAUUAGCUAGUUGGUGGGGUAAAGGCCUACCAAGGCGACGAUCAGUAGCGGGUCUGAGAGGAUGAUCCGCCACACUGGGACUGAGAAACGGCCCAGACUCCUACGGGAGGCAGCAGUUGGGAAUUUUUGACAAUGGGCGCAAGCCUGAUCCAGCCAUGCCGGGUGUUUGAAGAAGGCCUUCGGGUUGUAAAGGACUUUUGUUAGGGAAGAAAAGGCUGUUGCUAAUAUCGACAGCUGAUGACGGUACCCUAAGAAUAAGCACCGGCUAACUACGUG